UACACUCCUACGGGAGGCAGCAGUGGGGAAUAUUGCACAAUGGGCGCAAGCCUGAUGCAGCCAUGCCGCGUGUAUGAAGAAGGCCUUCGGGUUGUAAAGUACUUUCAGCGGGGAGGAAGGCGAUAAGGUUAAUAACCUUGUUGAUUGACGUUACCCGCAGAAGAAGCACCGGCUAACUCCGUGCCAGCAGCCGCGGUAAUACGGAGGGUGCAAGCGUUAAUCGGAAUUACUGGGCGUAAAGCGCACGCAGGCGGUCUGUCAAGUCGGAUGUGAAAUCCCCGGGCUCAACCUGGGAACUGCAUUCGAAACUGGCAGGCUAGAGUCUUGUAGAGGGGGGUAGAAUUCCAGGUGUAGCGGUGAAAUGCGUAGAGAUCUGGAGGAAUACCGGUGGCGAAGGCGGCCCCCUGGACAAAGACUGACGCUCAGGUGCGAAAGCGUGGGGAGCAAACAGGAUUAGAUACCCGGGUAGUCCC
Molecule: ribosomal RNA, 473 nt
Filed under: uncultured organism
Description: partial 16S ribosomal RNA
Rfam family: Bacterial small subunit ribosomal RNA
Source: RNAcentral